Molecule: non-coding RNA, 115 nt
Organism: Triticum aestivum (bread wheat)
Lineage: Eukaryota; Viridiplantae; Streptophyta; Magnoliopsida; Poales; Poaceae
Source: Rfam
GAUCUACUCCCUCCGUUCGGAAUUACUUGUCGUAGAAAUGGAUGUAUCUAGACGUAUUUUAGUUCUAAAGACAUCCAUUUCCGAGACAAGUAAUUCCGAACGGAGGGAGUAUACU